AGAUGGCGACCGGCGCACGGGUGAGUAACACGUAUCCAACCUGCCGAUAACUCGGGGAUAGCCUUUCGAAAGAAAGAUUAAUACCCGAUGGUAUAAUCAGACCGCUUGGUUUGAUUAUUAAAGAAUUUCGGUUAUCGAUGGGGAUGCGUUCCAUUAGGCAGUUGGUGAGGUAACGGCUCACCAAACCUUCGAUGGAUAGGGGUUCUGAGAGGAAGGUCCCCCACAUUGGAACUGAGACACGGUCCAA
RNAcentral lists this ribosomal RNA (247 nucleotides) under uncultured bacterium. Its description in RNAcentral is "partial 16S ribosomal RNA". It matches the Rfam family "Bacterial small subunit ribosomal RNA", at positions 86 to 334 of the family's 1533-position model. The record is from RNAcentral.